This 506-nucleotide ribosomal RNA is filed under the name uncultured bacterium. RNAcentral's name for it is "partial 16S ribosomal RNA". It matches the Rfam family "Bacterial small subunit ribosomal RNA", at positions 29 to 523 of the family's 1533-position model. The record is from RNAcentral.
AGUGUACGCUGGCGGUAGGCCUAACACAUGCUAGUCGAACGGCAGCACAGAGGAGCUUGCUUCUUGGGUGGCGAGUGGCGGACGGGUGAGGAAUACAUCGGAAUCUACUCUGUCGUGGGGGAUAACGUAGGGAAACUUACGCUAAUACCGCAUACGACCUACGGGUGAAAGCAGGGGAUCUUCGGACCUUGCGCGAUUGAAUGAGCAGAUGUCGGAUUAGCUAGUUGGCGGGGUAAAGGCCCACCAAGGCGACGAUCAGUAGCUGGUCUGAGAGGAUGAUCAGCCACACUGGAACUGAGACACGGUCCAGACUCCUACGGGGGGCAGCAGUGGGGAAUAUUGGACAAUGGGCGCAAGCCUGAUCCAGCCAUACCGCGUGGGUGAAGAAGGCCUUCGGGUUGUAAAGCCCUUUUGUUGGGAAAGAAAUCCAUCUGGUUAAUACCCGGGUGGGAUGACGGUACCCAAAGAAUAAGCACCGGCUAACUUCGUGCCAGCCGCCGCGGUAA